UCCUGGCUGGCUUAGUCAGUAGAGCAUAUGACUUUUGAUCUCGGGGUUGUGAGUUCGAGCCUCAUGUUGGGUA
Molecule: transfer RNA, 73 nt
Filed under: Canis lupus familiaris (dog)
Lineage: Eukaryota; Metazoa; Chordata; Mammalia; Carnivora; Canidae
Also listed under: 1 other name
Rfam family: tRNA
About the family: Transfer RNA (tRNA) molecules are approximately 80 nucleotides in length. Their secondary structure includes four short double-helical elements and three loops (D, anti-codon, and T loops).
Source: Rfam by way of RNAcentral